UUUUUGGAGAGUUUGAUCUUGGCUCAGGACGAACGCUGGCGGCGUGCCUAAUACAUGCAAGUCGAGCGCGG
RNAcentral lists this ribosomal RNA (71 nucleotides) under Virgibacillus dakarensis. RNAcentral's name for it is "partial 16S ribosomal RNA". It matches the Rfam family "Bacterial small subunit ribosomal RNA", at positions 1 to 71 of the family's 1533-position model. Lineage: Bacteria; Bacillati; Bacillota; Bacilli; Caryophanales; Bacillaceae. The record is from RNAcentral.